RNAcentral lists this ribosomal RNA (252 nucleotides) under uncultured bacterium. RNAcentral describes it as "partial 16S ribosomal RNA". It matches the Rfam family "Bacterial small subunit ribosomal RNA", at positions 524 to 776 of the family's 1533-position model. The record is from RNAcentral.
UACGUAGGGUGCAAGCGUUGUCCGGAAUUACUGGGUUUAAAGGGUGUGUAGGCGGGCUUUUAAGUCAGUGGUGAAAUCUCCGGGCUCAACCUGGAAACUGCCAUUGAUACUAUUAGUCUUGAAUUUUGUUGAGGUAGGCGGAAUAAGUCAUGUAGCGGUGAAAUGCAUAGAUAUGACUUAGAACACCAAUUGCGAAGGCAGCUUGCUAAACAAAUAUUGACGCUGAGGCACGAAGCGUGGGGAUCAAACAGG